RNAcentral lists this transfer RNA (74 nucleotides) under Pteropus alecto (black flying fox). It matches the Rfam family "tRNA". From Rfam's summary of the family: Transfer RNA (tRNA) molecules are approximately 80 nucleotides in length. Their secondary structure includes four short double-helical elements and three loops (D, anti-codon, and T loops). The record is from Rfam by way of RNAcentral. Lineage: Eukaryota; Metazoa; Chordata; Mammalia; Chiroptera; Pteropodidae.
GGCUCCAUAGUGUAGUGGUUAACACAUCUGCUUUACACACAGAAGGUCCUGGGUUUGCGCCUCAGGUGGAGCCA